AGCAAAUGAAAUAGUUGGAGGGGCAAUAGAGCAGCGAGCAGGACCCCUGCCACCCCUGUCUGCUUCCAAGUGCCCAUCAAAAGGCACCUGGAACUUGGCCUGCCUGUCGCUCACCCCCGCAGAUGGGGAACAAUGCCCUUACCGUGGGUAGGUGAACAUUCACUGGGGUUGCACUGCAGACCUCCACAGGGAAGUAAAUCCACACACCCACACUGAACCCCUUGCUUCUCUACUACAGCUCCCAGGCUGCUCCCACGUUGGGGGAACCUUUGAGCAAGCUGUCAGGAGGCAACAGCAAAGACCGCAUGCGUUGCCUUCAGGCUGUGCCACACCACCCGUGCUAGGCAAGAGAAGGCCAUCUGCCCCUUUCUGCACCAACCUGGGAGAAACAUCCACAGGCAGGUUGGGGUUCUCCAAGAGGCCCCCUACUGGAGCUGGGAGCAGGACCGGCCAGGCUCUGCCUUCCACCUGGUGAACAUCCCCACUGGAAGGUGUCCAAACUGCAGAAGAACCACUUAGCACGUGUCUUCAAAAUAGCAGAUAAAUGGAUUAAUGGCCUGCCCCCUCCCCUGCCACUGCCUCAUUGCUUUAAUAUCCUGUCCUUUAUGAGUGACUGGCAGAGUCACUUUGUGUUAUGUUAUCUUCCCAGGAAAGCAUUUCUUGUUUUUGUUUGUUUUAUUUUUUUGUUUGUUUUUUAAUCCCCUUGCAUUGGCCUCCAGAGCCUGUUUGGAGCAAUACUGUGAAGCAAAUGACCAGACAUAAUGACUUUCCAAGGUCCUUGUGAUUCCUUAUUAACAUUCGGUUAGCAUAAGUCCUGACUUUAUUAUUGACUACAUUGAAUACACAAUACACUGACCUCUGCCAUCUGCAACUAAAUCUCUUCCUGCAGAUCUAUCACAGUGAUUUCAUACACAGAGGAAGUGGAAGACAACAAAGCAGUAACUGCUUUGUUUGUUUUUUUGUUUUGUUUUGUUUUGUUUUAUUUUGUUUGUUGUUGGUUUUUGACCUCAGCCCAUCGGUGCAGCCUAUCCAGAUCCUCCUGCAGAGCCUUCCUA
RNAcentral lists this long non-coding RNA (1055 nucleotides) under Anas platyrhynchos platyrhynchos (common mallard). Its description in RNAcentral is "lncRNA (ENSAPLG00000018201.1)". Lineage: Eukaryota; Metazoa; Chordata; Aves; Anseriformes; Anatidae. The record is from RNAcentral.